RNAcentral lists this non-coding RNA (21 nucleotides) under Arabidopsis thaliana (thale cress). The record is from RNAcentral. Lineage: Eukaryota; Viridiplantae; Streptophyta; Magnoliopsida; Brassicales; Brassicaceae.
GUGAAGUGAGGCGCUUACCUC